RNAcentral lists this ribosomal RNA (466 nucleotides) under uncultured bacterium. Its description in RNAcentral is "bacterial SSU rRNA". It matches the Rfam family "Bacterial small subunit ribosomal RNA", at positions 329 to 793 of the family's 1533-position model. The record is from RNAcentral.
ACCCAGACUCCUACGGGAGGCAGCAGUGAGGAAUAUUGGUCAAUGGGCGGGAGCCUGAACCAGCCAAGCCGCGUGAGGGAAGAAGGUACAGCGUAUCGUAAACCUCUUUUGUCAGGGAACAAAGGCGGGGACUAGUCCCCGGAUGAGGGUACCUGAAGAAAAAGCAUCGGCUAACUCCGUGCCAGCAGCCGCGGUAAUACGGAGGAUGCGAGCGUUAUCCGGAUUUAUUGGGUUUAAAGGGUGCGCAGGCGGCCUGUUAAGUCAGGGGUAAACGCCCGGGGCUCAACCCCGGCGAGCCGUUGAAACUGCAUCCCUUGAGUGCGCGAGAAGUAUGCGGAAUGCGUGGUGUAGCGGUGAAAUGCAUAGAUAUCACGCAGAACUCCGAUUGCGAAGGCAGCAUACCGGCGCCCGACUGACGCUGAGGCACGAAAGCGUGGGUAUCGAACAGGAUUAGAUACCCGGGUAC